AUCUGUUAAGGUAUAAGCGGGUAUAAGAAAUAAGACCAUAUUGUAACUGUUUCCGACACGCAUGGACCUAUCGAUCCUUUAUCCCUACCGUUUCUCCCUUCCGCUCGCUGAACUUUCCUUUAUCCCCUCCCCUGACCCCACCAAUCUAUAAUUGCAGAUCUCCGAUCACCGUGUCCUCUGCUGAGUCAGCAUUGACUCUCCCAUAUAACUCACCCCAACUUUUGCCCAUACAUACUCUUAUGACCUGAUGUCAAAAUCUUUUGGGGGUACCUUUUACACAUGUUUUGUAUGACCGUGACCAAUCUGAACAUAUCUCUAAAUUAUUCAGCGAAACUAACUGUUAUAUAAAACCUAUGCCACCAGCUUGAAAACCGAGACAGUCAGCAUCAGUCAGCAGCAGACAGUAGUGGCAGUCAGUCAAGUCAACCAGAAAGUCUUAAACAAAUUACUUGGCUUCAACUGCAAGAACGUACCCGAUGUCUUGUUGAGUGAAAACACUUCGUUGUUGAUCGUGAACGAACUUGAAGAUUUCGAGGAAACACGUUAUUCAUGAAUUUCGACUGCCAGUAUCGCACGAACGAAGUGCUUGGGAUAAUAUUGGCAUCAGAUGUAAUUUGGACGUCCGAAACACCAGGGCAUUGGUAUUUACUCGCUGGACUUACUCGGUUUUUCGAGAAAAUCAUUCUUGAAAAAAAGGAAAAACGAUUUGUGUUGGAACCACGUAUAGCCCUCAACUAUCACUAUGGCUAAUAUUAUCAAAGACGUUGUUUUAGACGAGUUUAGUCAAAUUACAAUCGAAAAACUUAACUUCGGCCAAGCAAACAAUAAAAAGAGGAAAAGGAGUUGGAAGAAGAGAACAUGGAGGAAAACUCUUUUUUUGGAAAUAUCGAACACACAGAACCAAGGAAUUUCAAUACAGAAAAUCUAGAGGACAUAUGUCUGCGCCAGAUGCCCAUACCAGAGGAGGUAGUUAAUGGCCGCGGUCUCCUUCAAUUCCAGUACAGCAAGUUUCAUGUUUUCCGGCACGAUGUGUCCAAACAGACGAGGGGCACCCGAAUGAAGGGAUUUUUUUACACAUUGUUUUUUCAUAUUUGUCGUUGCGUUUUUCCUCCUCUCUUUCUCUACCCUUUCGAAAAAGAAUAUAAAAGAUCACCACAGUUUUUUUAUACACCAACACCCACCCAAACUAUGGGCAUCCGUCGUGUGUUAUACUGCUGUUCUGUCGGCAGAGCGUCUUUCGUGACGAUCCGGCAUAUUUCCUUCCGCUUCCGCACCGCUCACUCAACAAAAAAUAAUAAUAAAAAGAGCGCUGGAUGUAUAUGGACAAAAUGGCCUUCCUCCCAUGCAUAUAUGUUGUCUCUUGCUGCUGCUGCUACUGCUACUACAGUCCCGGCUUGCCUUUUCUUUCUCUCGCCAGUUGGGUCGGACACCGUCAAAAAUCGAUGCUGUAUGCAGAGACAAAACAAGGGAUCGUUGUCAUGCCAAUGUGCAGCCGUGAGAGGUUACCUUCGAUCAACCGAUACCGCUUCUCCCUCGUUAUCCUUUUGUUAUCCGGAUGUAGAUCUGCACGAAGUGUGCACUGCAUCUUUUCGAUGAUUUCUUUUUUAAGGAAUGACAGGGACCAUGCCGAGAGAGGCUUGUGACAACAACUGUUGUUGUUUCUUUGAUGACCUUUUGACCUUGAUGUUUUUCCCUCUUUGUUUUCCAAAUGACACUGUUUUGAUUCCUCUGAUUGAUGUAAAAACUUUGCAUUAAAAAAAUAACUAUAACACCAAAAAGCGGGAAAAGGGAAACAAGAAAUGAAUAAUAAUAAUAACAAACAUAACAAAACUCAAAACUCUCCUCAUAUGGGAUAGACAUCUAGAUAUGCUAUAGACCUCUUUUUUCUUUUUUUUUGUUUUGUGAGUCGUGAAAUCCGCCCUACACACCGACUGGGGGCUAUCUGUCUAUUUAGUUUUGUUUCUUCGGUGGGGGGUUGCACUUGACUUGUGGUGGCUGUUGUUCCACUCCAUUCAUUCGGCAAUCCGAUUUCAAUUUUUUUUGUGUGAAAUGUAAUCGGCGGCGGACAAGAAAGCAAAAGAAUGCCGCGAAGAAGACGAAAAGGAUGCCAUCACAACAACCAUGGACGUGUUUUUUUUGUAAAGAAGGACAGCACUCCUAUAAGGACUGUAAAGUUCGAAAGACUUGGUUGGCUUCUGGAAACGAGAUGUCCUUUCGGGAUCAUCUUGCAAGUGUCCAACGUAAAGAAAAAUCAGCAAAGACAACUUUUGUAGAGCUGGCAGUAAAGCCUUCAGUUGCCCAAGCAUUUGUAAACAAGUGGAAUGGAAAAUGCCGACUUAACAACACCAAUUUCGUGAUGCUCACGUCUCACUUACCAACCAUCCACAAGAAAACCAAGGAAGCUAAGGACGAAAUGAUUGCUUAUCGUGCUUCAAAAAUGAAUGGAAAUUAAUUUCGUUAUCAACUAUCAAUCCAGAAAAAGUUUUAUCCUUUUUUUCCCAUCUGAUUUUCUUUUAUUUUCUUUUUUC
RNAcentral lists this long non-coding RNA (2528 nucleotides) under Daphnia pulex (common water flea). Its description in RNAcentral is "uncharacterized LOC124202425". The record is from RNAcentral. Lineage: Eukaryota; Metazoa; Arthropoda; Branchiopoda; Diplostraca; Daphniidae.